ACCCCUGUGAGAAUGCCCUCAAUCCUCCGCCCGAAGACGAGGAGCAGGCAUCAGGCGCGCCCAUGCAGCCCAAGACGCCUUGCUACGCCACACCCCCAAGGGAUUUCAGCAGUAAUAAACAUUAAGCCAUAAGUGAAAACUUGACUUAGUUAGGGUCACAUAGGGUCGGUAAAAUUCGUGCCAGCCACCGCGGUUAUACGAAAGACCCCAGUUAAUAGACACGGCGUAAAGGGUGGUUAAGGAAUAUAAUAAAUAAAGCUAAAGGCCCUCUAAGCCGUUAUACGCACUCCGAGGAUACGAAGCCCAAACACGAAAGUAGCUUUAAGCCUCUCCUGACCCCACAAAAGCUAAGAAACAAACUGGGAUUAGAUACCCCACUAUGCUUAGCCAUAAACCCAGAUGUACUUCUACAAUACAUUCGCCAGGGUACUACGAGCACAGCUUAAAACCCAAAGGACUUGGCGGUGUCUCAGACCCACCUAGAGGAGCCUGUUCUAGAACCGAUAACCCCCGUUAAACCUCACCACUUCUUGUUUUCCCC
Molecule: ribosomal RNA, 541 nt
Filed under: Silurus tomodai
Lineage: Eukaryota; Metazoa; Chordata; Actinopteri; Siluriformes; Siluridae
Description: partial 12S rRNA
Rfam family: Bacterial small subunit ribosomal RNA
Source: RNAcentral